GCGCAAUGGGCGGAAGCCUAACGCAGCGACGCCGCGUGGGGGAUGACGGCCUUCGGGUUGUAAACCUCUUUCGACUCCGACGAAGCGAGAGUGACGGUAGGAGUAGAAGAAGCACCGGCCAACUACGUGCCAGCAGCCGCGGUAAUACGUAGGGUGCGAGCGUUGUCCGGAAUUAUUGGGCGUAAAGAGCUCGUAGGCGGUGUGUCACGUCGAUCGUGAAAACUUGGGGCUUAACCCUGAGCGUGCGGUCGAUACGGGCAUCACUUGAGUUCGGCAGGGGAGACUGGAAUUCCUGGUGUAGCGGUGAAAUGCGCAGAUAUCAGGAGGAACACCGGUGGCGAAGGCGGGUCUCUGGGCCGAUACUGACGCUGAGGAGCGAAAGCGUGGGGAGCGAACAGGAUUAGAUACCCUGGUAGUCCACGCCGUAAACGGUGGGCGCUAGGUGUGGGGGCCAUUCCACGGUCUCUGUGCCGCAGCUAACGCAUUAAGCGCCCCGCCUGGGGAGUACGGCCGCAAGGCU
RNAcentral lists this ribosomal RNA (520 nucleotides) under uncultured bacterium. Its description in RNAcentral is "bacterial SSU rRNA". It matches the Rfam family "Bacterial small subunit ribosomal RNA", at positions 366 to 895 of the family's 1533-position model. The record is from RNAcentral.